This 275-nucleotide long non-coding RNA is filed under the name Solanum tuberosum (potato). Its description in RNAcentral is "long non-coding RNA (STUB_LNC004910)". Lineage: Eukaryota; Viridiplantae; Streptophyta; Magnoliopsida; Solanales; Solanaceae. The record is from RNAcentral.
GAUAUUAUUCAUAUGAUUCCCACCACCACAAAACUAUUAUCAUCCCUAAAAAAAAGAAACAGAAUUCACUUCUUAAGACUUCCACGGAUACCAGGUUUAGGCUUGGUGCUUGAUUCAGCAACACCAGUUGAAUGAAGAUUGUUGAGUUUUGCCUCAUCAAAAGCAAGUUUUGGGUGUUUUGCAUCAUGAUGGAUCUUCAUAGACUUGAUAUCAGGUGCAGUCACUUUGCAAAGAGGACAUUCAAGCUUCGCAUGUCCACCUUUUUCAAUACCAGA